GAUGAAGAACGUAGCGAAAUGCGAUAAGUAAUGUGAAUUGCAGAAUUCAGUGAAUCAUCGAAUCUUUGAACGCACCUUGCGCCCUUUGGACAUUCCGAAGGGCAUGCCUGUUUGAGUAUCAUGAACACCUCAACUCUCACGGCUUGUCCGUGAUGAGCUUGGACUUUGGGGGUCUUGCCGGCCUGUGGUCGGCUCCUCUCAAAUGGAUCAGCUUGCCAGUGUUUGGUGGCAUCACAGGUGUGAUAACUAUCUGCGCUUGUGGUUUUCCAUCAGAUAACCUUCAGUGAUAUGGAGGUUCGCUGGAGUUCACAAAUGUCUCUCCUUAGUGAGGACAGCUCUUUGAACGUUUGAUCUCAAAUCAGGUAGGACUACCCGCUGAACUUAAGCAUAUCAAUAAGCGGAGGA
RNAcentral lists this unclassified non-coding RNA (405 nucleotides) under soil metagenome. Its description in RNAcentral is "partial contains 5.8S ribosomal RNA, internal transcribed spacer 2, and large subunit ribosomal RNA". The stretch from base 1 to 121 matches the Rfam family "5.8S ribosomal RNA", at positions 35 to 154 of the family's 154-position model. The record is from RNAcentral.